UUGGGAGCNGGCNACGGCNCCCUAUUGCUGANAGCUGAUCAAACUUGGUCAUUNANNGGAAGNAAAGUCGUANCNAAGGUUNNNUAGGUGANNNGCGGAAGGAUCAUUAUUGAAUAANNNUGAUGUGGUUGUUGCUGGCUCUCUCGGGAGUAAUGUGCACGCCCGUCAUCUUUAUAUCUCCACCUGUGCACCUUUUGUAGACCUGGGGAUUGAGUAACAUCAAUCGUUAGGCCUAUGUUUUAUCAUAUACCCCAUAGUAUGUAUUAGAAUGUAUCAAUGGGCUUCGUGCCUAUAAACCUUAUACAACUUUCAGCAACGGAUCUCCUGGCUCUCGCAUCGAUGAAGAACGCAGCGAAAUGCGAUAAGUAAUGUGAAUUGCAGAAUUCAGUGAAUCAUCGAAUCUUUGAACGCACCUUGCGCUCCUUGGUAUUCCGAGGAGCAUGCCUGUUUGAGUGUCAUUAAAUUCUCAACCUCUCUAGUUUGUAAUGAACUAUGUAGAUGGCUUGGAUGUGGGGGAUUAUUUUGCAGGCUUUCACAAGUCAGCUCCCCUGAAAUGUAUUAGCCGGUGCCCUCUAAACCGUCUAUUGGUGUGAUAAUUAUCUACGCCGUGGAUGUUUGGAGUUGAAGGUACUGCUUCUAACCGUCCUUCAUUGGACAACUUAUGACAUUUUGACCUCAAAUCAGGUAGGACUACCCGCUGAACUUAAGCAUAUCAAUAAGCGGAGGA
Molecule: ribosomal RNA, 727 nt
Filed under: uncultured fungus
Lineage: Eukaryota; Fungi
Description: eukaryotic LSU rRNA
Rfam family: 5.8S ribosomal RNA (bases 305-458)
Source: RNAcentral